RNAcentral lists this ribosomal RNA (815 nucleotides) under Micrococcus sp. RODSPM18. RNAcentral's name for it is "bacterial SSU rRNA". It matches the Rfam family "Bacterial small subunit ribosomal RNA", at positions 62 to 888 of the family's 1533-position model. The record is from RNAcentral. Lineage: Bacteria; Bacillati; Actinomycetota; Actinomycetes; Micrococcales; Micrococcaceae.
UCGAACGAUGAAGCCCAGCUUGCUGGGUGGAUUAGUGGCGAACGGGUGAGUAACACGUGAGUAACCUGCCCUUAACUCUGGGAUAAGCCUGGGAAACUGGGUCUAAUACCGGAUAGGAGCGUCCACCGCAUGGUGGGUGUUGGAAAGAUUUAUCGGUUUUGGAUGGACUCGCGGCCUAUCAGCUUGUUGGUGAGGUAAUGGCUCACCAAGGCGACGACGGGUAGCCGGCCUGAGAGGGUGACCGGCCACACUGGGACUGAGACACGGCCCAGACUCCUACGGGAGGCAGCAGUGGGGAAUAUUGCACAAUGGGCGCAAGCCUGAUGCAGCGACGCCGCGUGAGGGAUGACGGCCUUCGGGUUGUAAACCUCUUUCAGUAGGGAAGAAGCGAAAGUGACGGUACCUGCAGAAGAAGCACCGGCUAACUACGUGCCAGCAGCCGCGGUAAUACGUAGGGUGCGAGCGUUAUCCGGAAUUAUUGGGCGUAAAGAGCUCGUAGGCGGUUUGUCGCGUCUGUCGUGAAAGUCCGGGGCUUAACCCCGGAUCUGCGGUGGGUACGGGCAGACUAGAGUGCAGUAGGGGAGACUGGAAUUCCUGGUGUAGCGGUGGAAUGCGCAGAUAUCAGGAGGAACACCGAUGGCGAAGGCAGGUCUCUGGGCUGUAACUGACGCUGAGGAGCGAAAGCAUGGGGAGCGAACAGGAUUAGAUACCCUGGUAGUCCAUGCCGUAAACGUUGGGCACUAGGUGUGGGGACCAUUCCACGGUUUCCGCGCCGCAGCUAACGCAUUAAGUGCCCCGCCUGGGGAGUACGGCCG